RNAcentral lists this ribosomal RNA (268 nucleotides) under uncultured soil bacterium. RNAcentral describes it as "partial 16S ribosomal RNA". It matches the Rfam family "Bacterial small subunit ribosomal RNA", at positions 26 to 282 of the family's 1533-position model. The record is from RNAcentral.
AGAAUCAACGCUGGCGGCGUGCCUAACACAUGCAAGUCGAACGCGAAAGCCCCGCAAGGGGUAAGUAGAGUGGCAAACGGGUGAGUAACACGUGGGUGACCUGCCUUCGAGUGGGGGAUAACGUCCCGAAAGGGACGCUAAUACCGCAUGACAUCCUGCUUUUGGAAAAGCGGAGAUCAAAGCCGGGGAUCGCAAGACCUGGCGCUUGAAGAGGGGCCCGCGCCUGAUUAGCUAGUUGGUAGGUAACGGUCUACCAAGGCAACGAUCA